This 465-nucleotide ribosomal RNA is filed under the name uncultured bacterium. RNAcentral's name for it is "bacterial SSU rRNA". It matches the Rfam family "Bacterial small subunit ribosomal RNA", at positions 330 to 793 of the family's 1533-position model. The record is from RNAcentral.
UCCAGACUUCUACGGGAGGCAGCAGUGAGGAAUAUUGGUCAAUGGCCGAGAGGCUGAACCAGCCAAGUCGCGUGAGGGAAGAAUGUCCUAUGGAUUGUAAACCUCUUUUGUCAGGGAGCAAAGUCACCCACGUGUGACUCAUUGAGAGUACCCGAAGAAAAAGCAUCGGCUAACUCCGUGCCAGCAGCCGCGGUAAUACGGAGGAUGCGAGCGUUAUCCGGAUUUAUUGGGUUUAAAGGGUGCGUAGGCGGAAUGCCAAGUCAGCGGUAAAAUCGCGGGGCUCAACCUCGCUCCGCCGUUGAAACUGGCGUUCUUGAGUGGGCGAGAAGUAUGCGGAAUGCGUGGUGUAGCGGUGAAAUGCAUAGAUAUCACGCAGAACUCCGAUUGCGAAGGCAGCAUGCCGGCUCCACACUGACGCUGAGGCACGAAAGCGUGGGUAUCGAACAGGAUUAGAUACCCUCGUAA